AAUAAAGGUGGGAGUCAGAAGUGAAAUUCUCUGAGACGCAGGGGAGUGGGAGAAGGAGAGGGGACAGUGAAACACAGAAAGAAAGAAAGAAAGAAAGAAA
Molecule: long non-coding RNA, 100 nt
Organism: Ochotona curzoniae (black-lipped pika)
Lineage: Eukaryota; Metazoa; Chordata; Mammalia; Lagomorpha; Ochotonidae
Exons: 3
Source: RefSeq, a predicted model, not a curated record